This 72-nucleotide transfer RNA is filed under the name Bos taurus (domestic cattle). It matches the Rfam family "tRNA". From Rfam's summary of the family: Transfer RNA (tRNA) molecules are approximately 80 nucleotides in length. Their secondary structure includes four short double-helical elements and three loops (D, anti-codon, and T loops). RNAcentral also lists the same sequence under 5 other names. Lineage: Eukaryota; Metazoa; Chordata; Mammalia; Artiodactyla; Bovidae. The record is from Rfam by way of RNAcentral.
UCCCUCAUAGCUCAGUAGGUAAAGAAUCUGCCUCCAAUGCAGGAGACCCAGGUUCAAUCUCUGGGUUGGGAA